This 467-nucleotide ribosomal RNA is filed under the name uncultured bacterium. RNAcentral's name for it is "partial 16S ribosomal RNA". It matches the Rfam family "Bacterial small subunit ribosomal RNA", at positions 30 to 507 of the family's 1533-position model. The record is from RNAcentral.
CCGCACGCUUGCGGCGUGCUUCACCCCUGCAAGUCGAACGGAAAGGCCCUGCUUUUGUGGGGUGCUCGAGUGGCGAACGGGUGAGUAACACGUGAGUAACCUGCCCUUGACUUUGGGAUAACUUCAGGAAACUGGGGCUAAUACCGGAUAGGAGCUCCUGCUGCUUGGUGGGGGUUGGAAAGUUUCGGCGGUUGGGGAUGGACUCGCGGCUUAUCAGCUUGUUGGUGGGGUAGUGGCUUACCAAGGCUUUGACGGGUAGCCGGCCUGAGAGGGUGACCGGCCACAUUGGGACUGAGAUACGGCACAGACUCCUACGGGAGGCAGCAGUGGGGAAUAUUGCACAAUGGGCGGAGGCCUGAUGCAGCAACGCCGCGUGCGGGAUGACGGCCUUCGGGUUGUAAACCGCUUUCGCCUGUGACGAAGCGUGAGUGACGGUAAUGGGUAAAGAAGCACCGGCUAACUACGUG